Molecule: ribosomal RNA, 416 nt
Filed under: uncultured bacterium
Lineage: Bacteria
Description: bacterial SSU rRNA
Rfam family: Bacterial small subunit ribosomal RNA
Source: RNAcentral
AACGAACGCUGGCGGCAUGCCUAACACAUGCAAGUCGAACGAAUGGUUUCGGCCAUUAGUGGCGCACGGGUGAGUAACGCGUGGGAAUCUGCCCAGCAGUGGGGGAUAACCUCUGGAAACGGAGGCUAAUACCGCAUACGCCCCUCGGGGGAAAGGCUUGCUGCUGCUGGAGGAGCCCGCGUCGGAUUAGGUAGUUGGUGGGGUAACGGCCUACCAAGCCUGUGAUCCGUAGCUGGUCUGAGAGGAUGAUCAGCCACACUGGGACUGAGACACGGCCCAGACUCCUACGGGAGGCAGCAGUGGGGAAUAUUGGACAAUGGGCGCAAGCCUGAUCCAGCAAUGCCGCGUGAGUGAUGAAGGCCUCGGUUGUAAGACUCUUCGUCCCACGACGAUGAUGACGGUAGUGGGAGAAGAAG